GACCCAGACUCCUACGGGAGGCAGCAGUGAGGAAUAUUGGUCAAUGGCCGGAAGGCUGAACCAGCCAAGUCGCGUGAGGGAAUAAGGCCCUAUGGGUCGUAAACCUCUUUUGUCAGGGAGCAAAGGCGUCCACGUGUGGACGAGAGGAGAGUACCUGAAGAAAAAGCAUCGGCUAACUCCGUGCCAGCAGCCGCGGUAAUACGGAGGAUGCGAGCGUUAUCCGGAUUUAUUGGGUUUAAAGGGUGCGUAGGCGGGAUGCCAAGUCAGCGGUAAAAAUGCGGUGCUCAACGCCGUCGAGCCGUUGAAACUGGCGUUCUUGAGUGGGCGAGAAGUAUGCGGAAUGCGUGGUGUAGCGGUGAAAUGCAUAGAUAUCGCGCAGAACUCCGAUUGCGAAGGCAGCAUGCCGGCUCCACACUGACGCUGAGGCACGAAAGCGUGGGUAUCGAACAGGAUUAGAUACCCUAGUA
Molecule: ribosomal RNA, 467 nt
Filed under: uncultured bacterium
Lineage: Bacteria
Description: bacterial SSU rRNA
Rfam family: Bacterial small subunit ribosomal RNA
Source: RNAcentral